GACGAACGCUGGCGGCGUGCCUAAUACAUGCAAGUAGAACGCACAGUUUAUACCGUAGCUUGCUACACCAUAGACUGUGAGUUGCGAACGGGUGAGUAACGCGUAGGUAACCUGCCUGGCAGCGGGGGAUAACUAUUGGAAACGAUAGCUAAUACCGCAUAAUAUUAAUUAUUGCAUGAUAAUUAAUUGAAAGGUGCAAUUGCACCACUACCAGAUGGACCUGCGUUGUAUUAGCUAGUAGGUGAGGUAACGGCUCACCUAGGCGACGAUACAUAGCCGACCUGAGAGGGUGAUCGGCCACACUGGGACUGAGACACGGCCCAGACUCCUACGGGAGGCAGCAGUAGGGAAUCUUCGGCAAUGGACGAAAGUCUGACCGAGCAACGCCGAGGGAGUGAAGAAGGUUGUCGGAUCGUAAAGCUCUGUUGUAAGAGAAGAACGGGUGUGAGAGUGGAAAGUUCACACUGUGACGGUAUCUUACCAGAAAGGGACGGCUAACUACGUG
RNAcentral lists this ribosomal RNA (505 nucleotides) under uncultured bacterium. Its description in RNAcentral is "partial 16S ribosomal RNA". It matches the Rfam family "Bacterial small subunit ribosomal RNA", at positions 28 to 507 of the family's 1533-position model. The record is from RNAcentral.